ACGAACGCUGGCGGCGUGCUUCACCCAUGCCAGUCGUACGGUAAGGCCCUUUCGGGGGUCCACGAGUGGCGAACGGGUGAGUAACACGUGAGUAACCUGCCCACAACUUUGGGAUAACGCUAGGAAACUGGUGCUAAUACUGGAUAUGUGCUCCUGCUGCAUGGUGGGGGUUGGAAAGCUCCGGCGGUUGUGGAUGGACUCGCGGCCUAUCAGCUUGUUGGUGGGGUAGUGGCCUACCAAGGCGGCGACGGGUAGCCGGCCUGAGAGGGUGACCGGCCACAUUGGGACUGAGAUACGGCCCAGACUCCUACGGGAGGCAGCAGUGGGGAAUAUUGCACAAUGGGCGCAAGCCUGAUGCAGCAACGCCGCGUGCGGGAUGACGGCCUUCGGGUUGUAAACCGCUUUCAGCAGGGACGAAGCUUUUUGUGACGGUACCUGCAGAAGAAGCACCGGCUAACUACGUG
Molecule: ribosomal RNA, 464 nt
Filed under: uncultured bacterium
Lineage: Bacteria
Description: partial 16S ribosomal RNA
Rfam family: Bacterial small subunit ribosomal RNA
Source: RNAcentral